Octopus sinensis (East Asian common octopus) is the source of this 72-nucleotide non-coding RNA. The record is from the annotation of a RefSeq genome assembly. Lineage: Eukaryota; Metazoa; Mollusca; Cephalopoda; Octopoda; Octopodidae.
GGGGGUAUAGCUCAGUGGGAGAGCAUUCGACUGCAUAUCGAGGGGUCUCCGGUUCAAUCCCGGCUGCCCUCC